Long non-coding RNA from Schistocerca piceifrons (Central American locust), 1043 nucleotides. RefSeq lists it as uncharacterized. The record is from RefSeq and is a predicted model, not a curated record. NCBI's taxonomy places the organism in Eukaryota, Metazoa, Arthropoda, Insecta, Orthoptera, Acrididae. The transcript has 3 exons.
GGACAGUCGGCCGGUGCAGCUGCGUCCUAACUCACCCUCCUACGGACUUUCCAGUGAGCUGCUUGCCUCUACCGAACAAAAUAAACUCCAGUGGCCGUCAUGUCUUGAAUGUCUGUUUUCAGACCCAGCAGAUCGCCACACUGCUAAACACAGCACAGCAGCUUCUAGCCAAUCACACCACCAAUGCAAUGCAACAGGCAACAUACCGCCUUUUCGCCAAUUUAAUGAAAAACAAGAGGAAUGGUUCGAGUGGUGGCAACAGUAAGAAGACCAAGUAAUUGCUCACAAUGUACCAGAUUAACGGAUCCCAAGGACAGCGUGGCCACAGUAGCUGCCAAAGGGUGUCAUCAUGACACCGUAGGAUGACCCAAUGGAGACAGAGCCUUCGCCUCUUCCUACUGAUGGAGCUGCACCCACCCACACUGCAGCAGCUGAUGCCUUCUACAUCUUCGCAUAGGCCCAGAAGGUGGAUUUGUACCCUUCUGGGUAUUUCCCAGGGAUAUUUGCAUCAGAGUCCAGGGCAGAUGGCAGGGUAUGACUAGAAGUCUGACGUUCCCUGCUGCUACAGCUUCCAUUCCAUCUGAGCAUCCAUGCUCCUGCCUCCCCACCAUUGUUGAGCUCCCUAUAUGACGACAGUCUGUCGCUUCGGGGGGAGGGGGUGGGGCGAAUGUCAUGGCAUACAGUCAUGUGCCAGCAUGUCAAUCGAUCGGGAAUGAGAGAGAUGGCCGUGAGAAGACGUCAGCCAAUCACACACUGACUGACCCCUCUCCAGGACGACAAUGUGACAGCAGUGGCCACUAUGCGAAGAGGACGUAAGUGCUGCACCCAACUGGUCGCAGUCCAGUUCUACAGCAGCAGCUUCAAGACUAGCAACUUGGAAAGCGUCAACUCUAAUCACUUGCUUCUACUGUCUAUGUAACACAGACUUGGGAAUUGUUGUACUAAAGAGAUUUCUUAUUUUGUCUGUCGCCCUUUGCUUGCGACACAUCUGUGUAACACAAGUAUUAUAUUUUUCCACUUUAUAAUAAAAUUCAUUAAUACGA